Molecule: ribosomal RNA, 423 nt
Filed under: uncultured prokaryote
Also listed under: 1 other name
Description: bacterial SSU rRNA
Rfam family: Bacterial small subunit ribosomal RNA
Source: RNAcentral
UGAGGAAUAUUGGUCAAUGGUCUGACGACUGAACCAGCCAUGCCGCGUGAAGGUGACGGCCCUAUGGGUCUUAAACUUCUUUUGCAAGGGAGCAAUAAGGCGUACGUGUACGUCGAUGAGAGUACCUUGCGAAUAAGCAUCGGCUAACUCCGUGCCAGCAGCCGCGGUAAUACGGGGGAUGCAAGCGUUAUCCGGAUUUAUUGGGUUUAAAGGGUGCGUAGGCGGUCUGGUAAGUCAGCGGUGAAAUUUAGGGGCUCAACCUCUACCGUGCCGUUGAUACUGUCAGGCUAGAAUGCGGAUGCCGUGGGAGGAAUGUGUGGUGUAGCGGUGAAAUGCAUAGAUAUCACACAGAACACCGAUUGCGAAGGCAUCUCACGAAUCCGCUAUUGACGCUGAUGCACGAAAGCGUGGGGAUCAAACAGG